Xenopus laevis (African clawed frog) is the source of this 1743-nucleotide long non-coding RNA. RefSeq lists it as uncharacterized. NCBI's taxonomy places the organism in Eukaryota, Metazoa, Chordata, Amphibia, Anura, Pipidae. The record is from RefSeq and is a predicted model, not a curated record. The transcript has 3 exons.
AUCCGUUAUCCGGCAAACCCAUGGUCCCAAGCAUUCUGGAGAACAGGUCCCAUACCUGUAGUACAAAAAAUAUUGGCUCAUUUUAAAUGUGAUGCCUGCGAAACAUGUAAAAAAAAAUAAGGGUGAGGGGCAGGUUUCCCACUGUGUUGCAUCAGCUUUUCUUCUAACAACAUCUGUGACUGGGACCAGAGGAGACCAAUUGCUGGAGUUUUGUACAAAGGAUUUCAGCUCCCCAACAGUUUGGGGACACCUUUGUUUUUCCUUUCAUAAUGUGAAAAAAUGUUUGGGCAACAGGACUGGGCCACUUUAUCACCUGGACUCACUUACUAGAAAGCAAUGCUGGUAUAAUACAUGCAGAAUGCUGCACUUUUGAAAAUAAACAAGGCCUUCCCUGUAAAAAGGGGGUUGUCUGGAUGGCAACAUAUUUUGUUCCAAAAUCAGUAUAUGUGGUUCUGUAUAUGCCAUGUGCACUUAUGCACCCCCAUACCACCACAGACGUGCAAGCACCCCAUGCCAUAUGCCCUAAUGCACCCCCUAUACCAGCACAGAUGCAGCUGGCUUUUGAACUGUGCACUAACAAGACACAUGAUCCUUUUCCUUUCUAGUGCGACGUCCAUGAUUACAAAAAGAAAUUCACAUUUCGAUUGGUCAGAGUACAGGAUAGUUUCCCACUUGGCUUCACUCUGUGCAUCAGGUAAAUACAAUGAAAAAUGACAAACAAAAAUCCUUAUCAGGAUAAUUAAGUGUCCAAACUUUUUUUCGUAAAUGGCUUGUAGACUGAAUUUGUGCAUUACCUGUUCCUCAUACCUACCGCUUGUACAGACACACACGGCCUUAUCCCGUUGCAGUGAUUCACAGUCAACUGCUCCUCCACACACACCCCGAUGCCGACACUCUUAUCCGUCUGACCGACAGUCUCAACCCUGCUCAUCAAAUGCUCCUUUCAAGUUACAGUACCCAUGGUUAUGUAACGUACCCACAAGGGGCCCUGUAUUUAUUAUAGACCAGGCCCAACCUCUGGACGGACAUCUAGAUAAAUGUGCUGCUCAUGCAAGCUAUCACUAGAUCACCUAAGUUGUUUCUCAGAGAUGAUUAAAGAAAGUCAUUCACAAUAUUGUGCUCAGGCUGGAAGAGUGUAUUCUGUCAGUAAUCUCUCCAAAAGGAAAGCUACUGAAGCAUUGUAUUUCCAAUAUAUAAGCCACAAUAGUGCAAGCUAUAAAACUAUUUAUUCUGCAGAAUGCUUUACCAUACCUGGAAGGAUAUGCCUAAAUCUAUGAUCCUUCCCUUACAUAGUUAAUUCUUACAAAUCCCCUUCUACUUGAUUUACCCUUUCUCAGAAUCCCUUUUUAGCAUACUAGUUUAAUUAUUACAUAGUUAUUGGCUUGUAACGGCUAAAGCAAGGUUAAAUGAUACUUCAGGCUUCAUGGCUACGUGCAGCACAUGACAUGUCUCCAUGAGAGCAGACAUAUGUCAACCCGAAUAUAUCACACUUAUGUUAUUUCUGUAAGUCUGACAUCCUGUUAUCUCUCUUGCAUACUCUUGUACAAGGACGUGCUAAAGUAUAUAAGCCUGUUUCACUGUACAAUAAAGCGAACAAGUAUUAGCAUCACGUCUCGUGUGUAUUCUUGUGCUUGUUCCCCGGAGAUCUCUGGAUCCUGAGUGGGGUACUCCAAGGGUGUGGCAGUUCUGAGUUAGCCAGGAACCCCAACAAUACCCGAGUAAACCGCUCUAGAAAUUCCCUGU